This 274-nucleotide ribosomal RNA is filed under the name uncultured bacterium. RNAcentral's name for it is "partial 16S ribosomal RNA". It matches the Rfam family "Bacterial small subunit ribosomal RNA", at positions 523 to 796 of the family's 1533-position model. The record is from RNAcentral.
AUACAGAGGGUGCGAGCGUUAAUCGGAAUUACUGGGCGUAAAGCGCGCGUAGGCGGCUUGGUCAGUCGGAUGUGAAAGCCCCGGGCUCAACCUGGGAAUGGCAUUCGAUACUGCCAGGCUAGAGUAUGGGAGAGGGAAGUGGAAUUUCCGGUGUAGCGGUGAAAUGCGUAGAUAUCGGAAAGAACACCAGUGGCGAAGGCGACUUUCUGGCCCAAUACUGACGCUGAGGUGCGAAAGCGUGGGGAGCGAACAGGAUUAGAAACCCUAGUAGUCC